AUUUCUUACAGGCAGAACCCUUGAUGGGCCUUGGGUGUGUUGAAUUGGCCUGCUUCCAGGAAGGGCUACAAGUUCUGCGCUGCUGCAGUUGAAUUGGUGGGGUCACGGACAGGGACUCCAGUUCUUUGGCUCUGAAGUUUGAAUCUGAGAAUGCUGGUGACGUCUUCAGGAGGACCUUCCUCAUUAGAAUGCUCGACAGUCUCAGUCCAGGGCGGCUCGGUGGCCACAAACAGCGACAGCCUCAGGGUCUGCG
RNAcentral lists this long non-coding RNA (253 nucleotides) under Meriones unguiculatus (Mongolian gerbil). RNAcentral's name for it is "lncRNA (ENSMUGG00000010739.1)". Lineage: Eukaryota; Metazoa; Chordata; Mammalia; Rodentia; Muridae. The record is from RNAcentral.